GGGCUUGAAAUGACUGGUGUAAUUACUGUGGAAGUAGACUUAAAAUCCUUGCCGCUUGCGGAGUGCCAGUUCGAGUCUGGCCGAGGGCACCA
RNAcentral lists this transfer RNA (92 nucleotides) under Candidatus Pelagibacter sp. RNAcentral's name for it is "tRNA-OTHER". The record is from RNAcentral. Lineage: Bacteria; Pseudomonadati; Pseudomonadota; Alphaproteobacteria; Candidatus Pelagibacterales; Candidatus Pelagibacteraceae.